This 249-nucleotide ribosomal RNA is filed under the name uncultured bacterium. RNAcentral describes it as "partial 16S ribosomal RNA". It matches the Rfam family "Bacterial small subunit ribosomal RNA", at positions 85 to 334 of the family's 1533-position model. The record is from RNAcentral.
AAGAUGGCGACCGGCGCACGGGUGAGUAACACGUGUCCAACCUGCCGAUAACUCCGGAAUAGCCUUUCGAAAGAAAGAUUAAUACCGGAUAGCAUACGAAUAUCGCAUGAUAUUUUUAUUUAAAGAAUUUCGGUUAUCGAUGGGGAUGCGUUCCAUUAGGCAGUUGGUGGGGUAACGGCCCACCAAACCUUCGAUGGAUAGGGGUUCUGAGAGGAAGGUCCCCCACAUUGGAACUGAGACACGGUCCAA